This 250-nucleotide ribosomal RNA is filed under the name uncultured bacterium. Its description in RNAcentral is "partial 16S ribosomal RNA". It matches the Rfam family "Bacterial small subunit ribosomal RNA", at positions 524 to 773 of the family's 1533-position model. The record is from RNAcentral.
UACGUAGGGGGCGAGCGUUGUCCGGAUUUACUGGGCGUAAAGAGCGCGUAGGCGGAAGCUUAAGUGUGGCCUGAAAGCCCCCGGCUCAACCGGGGAGGGUGGCUGCAAACUGGGCUUCUAGAGGGGGAUAGAGGAAAGUGGAAUUCCGGGUGUAGCGGUGAAAUGCGUAGAGAUCCGGAGGAACACCAGUGGCGAAGGCGGCUUUCUGGGUCCGCCCUGACGCUGAGGCGCGAAAGCGUGGGGAGCGAAC